ACGAACGCUGGCGGCGUGCCUAAUACAUGCAAGUAGAACGCACAGUUUAUACCGUAGCUUGCUACACCAUAGACUGUGAGUUGCGAACGGGUGAGUAACGCGUAGGUAACCUGCCUGGUAGCGGGGGAUAACUAUUGGAAACGAUAGCUAAUACCGCAUAAUAUUGAUUAUUGCAUGAUAAUUGAUUGAAAGAUGCUAUUGCAUCACUACCAGAUGGACCUGCGUUGUAUUAGCUAGUAGGUGAGGUAACGGCUCACCUAGGCGACGAUACAUAGCCGACCUGAGAGGGUGAUCGGCCACACUGGGACUGAGACACGGCCCAGACUCCUACGGGAGGCAGCAGUAGGGAAUCUUCGGCAAUGGACGAAAGUCUGACCGAGCAACGCCGCGUGAGUGAAGAAGGUUUUCGGAUCGUAAAGCUCUGUUGUAAGAGAAGAACGGGUGUGAGAGUGGAAAGUUCACACUGUGACGGUAUCUUACCAGAAAGAGACGGCUAACUACGUG
RNAcentral lists this ribosomal RNA (504 nucleotides) under uncultured bacterium. RNAcentral describes it as "partial 16S ribosomal RNA". It matches the Rfam family "Bacterial small subunit ribosomal RNA", at positions 29 to 507 of the family's 1533-position model. The record is from RNAcentral.